This 491-nucleotide ribosomal RNA is filed under the name uncultured bacterium. Its description in RNAcentral is "partial 16S ribosomal RNA". It matches the Rfam family "Bacterial small subunit ribosomal RNA", at positions 29 to 506 of the family's 1533-position model. The record is from RNAcentral.
AGUGAACGCUGGCGGUAGGCCUAACACAUGCAAGUCGAACGGCAGCACAGUAAGAGCUUGCUCUUACGGGUGGCGAGUGGCGGACGGGCGAGGAAUACAUCGGAAUCUACUUUUUCGUGGGGGAUAACGUAGGGAAACUUACGCUAAUACCGCAUACGACCUACGGGUGAAAGCAGGGGAUCUUCGGACCUUGCGCGAUUGAAUGAGCCGAUGUCGGAUUAGCUAGUUGGCGGGGUAAAGGCCCACCAAGGCGACGAUCCGUAGCUGGUCUGAGAGGAUGAUCAGCCACACUGGAACUGAGACACGGUCCAGACUCCUACGGGAGGCAGCAGUGGGGAAUAUUGGACAAUGGGCGCAAGCCUGAUCCAGCCAUACCGCGUGGGUGAAGAAGGCCUUCGGGUUGUAAAGCCCUUUUGUUGGGAAAGAAAAGCAGCAGGUUAAUACCCCGCUGUUCUGACGGUACCCAAAGAAUAAGCACCGGCUAACUUCGG